This 497-nucleotide ribosomal RNA is filed under the name uncultured bacterium. RNAcentral's name for it is "partial 16S ribosomal RNA". It matches the Rfam family "Bacterial small subunit ribosomal RNA", at positions 28 to 507 of the family's 1533-position model. The record is from RNAcentral.
GAUGAACGCUGGCGGCGUGCCUAAUACAUGCAAGUCGAGCGAACAGAUGAGGAACUUGCUCCUCUGACGUUAGCGGCGGACGGGUGAGUAACACGUUGAUAACCUACCUAUAAGACUGGGAUAACUUCGGGAAACCGGAGCUAAUACCGGAUAAUAUAUUGAACCGCAUGGUUCAAUAGUGAAAGACGGUUUUGCUGUCACUUAUAGAUGUAUCCGCGCCGCAUUAGCUAGUUGGUAAGGUAACGGCUUACCAAGGCAACGAUGCGUAGCCGACCUGAGAGGGUGAUCGGCCACACUGGAACUGAGACACGGUCCAGACUCCUACGGGAGGCAGCAGUAGGGAAUCUUCCGCAAUGGGCGAAAGACUGACGGAGCAACGCCGCGUGAGUGAUGAAGGUCUUCGGAUCGUAAAACUCUGUUAUUAGGGAAGAACAAAUGUGUAAGUAACUAUGCACGUCUUGACGGUACCUAAUCAGAAAGCCACGGCUAACUACGUG